UACGUAGGGUGCAAGCGUUAAUCGGAAUUACUGGGCGUAAAGCGUGCGCAGGCGGUUAUAUAAGUCAGCUGUGAAAUCCCCGGGCUCAACCUGGGAACUGCAGUUGAGACUGUAUGGCUAGAGUGUGUCAGAGGGGGGUAGAAUUCCACGUGUAGCAGUGAAAUGCGUAGAUAUGUGGAGGAAUACCGAUGGCGAAGGCAGCCCCCUGGGAUAACACUGACGCUCAUGCACGAAAGCGUGGGGAGCAAACAGG
RNAcentral lists this ribosomal RNA (253 nucleotides) under uncultured bacterium. RNAcentral's name for it is "partial 16S ribosomal RNA". It matches the Rfam family "Bacterial small subunit ribosomal RNA", at positions 524 to 776 of the family's 1533-position model. The record is from RNAcentral.